Hipposideros armiger (great roundleaf bat) is the source of this 4794-nucleotide RNA transcript. RefSeq lists it as uncharacterized. The transcript has 3 exons. Lineage: Eukaryota; Metazoa; Chordata; Mammalia; Chiroptera; Hipposideridae. The record is from RefSeq and is a predicted model, not a curated record.
GCGCGCACAGCCAGGCCGAGCGGAAGCGGCGGGACCGAGGCGCUUCGCGGGAUCCUUGUUCGUCUCCGCGUGGAGCCUGGGUCCCGGCGGCCACCCCUGCGCUCCGCGGGGUCCUCCUGUCCCGCAGCGCCGUCCCCCACAGUCGUGGUGGCGGGAGGCGGCAGGGAGCGCUCCUGCCGCACUGCGCAGGCGCGAGUUGCGCAGCUGCUCCGGGACGAUGCACCCCGUUCGGGCUGGUGCCUCCCGCCAGAACGGGGCGGCGUUGGGCAAUCGCUCCGCCGCAUGUAAACCGACGGCGGGCCUGCGGGCCACCCGGUCUUCGGUGUAUGGAGCGGGCCCGCCCCGGAGUGAGCGCCCAAUGCUGUAUCAUUUCAUCUGGAGAACCUGCGGGACGACGCGGGCCUGCGAGGGGCUGCGCCCCCUGCACGUGCUGACCGCUCCCGGGAGCGGGCGGGGCGGGCCGUGGGCGGCCUCCCUCCAGACCCAGGCCGGACAGGGAGCCCCGCUGAGCAGCCGGCCCUGCACACCUCGCAAAGCUCCAGGGUUGAUGCUGAGAAAAGAUGGGCAACAUUCAACAGGAAGUGUCCGGGCAAAGGUAAUGGCUACAUGUCACCCACGCAUGGCCUCUAUGCUCUCUUCCCCAGCACCCCGAGAGCAAAGCUUCCUAACCUCCUGCCUAGAAGAGUCUGCAUCCCCUCUGGCCUGGCUGAGCCCCACUCACCCUGCAGCCUGCACAAAGCUCAUUCCUUCCCCGGCUCCCUGUCCUCGGGCUGUGGGGCUGUUCCUUCUCUGGAUCGCCCUCUGCUCCCCAUUCCUGGGCUGUUGGCUUCUGCAUCAAGUCCCCUCACUGCUGCCCCCUCAACACACACACACACACACACACACACACACACUCACCCAGAGGCAGGGCCAGCCUGGUCUUGGCGUGCAAGAGGCCAGCUGGGAUGGGGGACCAAGGGGUCUGGUGAGCAGGGCACGCCCCUGGAAAAGGCAAAUUGCUUUAUUUAGUUGUCAGUUUAGGGACAAGAACUACUGUCAGGGAGGCCACUUUUAGGGGUUCCUUGAGAGUGAUUUUUUUGCUUGUUCCAAAUGGGGAACUCAGCAUCUGCUCAGACAGCCUUGGGCCUUUCCUUCCAGAGAUGCCCCUGAGCCCCCAGAACGAGUGUGGCACCACCGGCCAUGUUGGUGGUUGUCCUUGGAACCUGCUCCUCACCGGCGGUAACGGGGAGGCUUUCUUUCCCCAAGGUUUGGGGGUUCUUUGUUGCUUGUUUUAGAAAUGAUAGGAGACAUGAUUCCCUUGGCUGGUUCUCAGGGGACUGUCUGUCCCAGGGAGAGCGGGUGAGGGUGGCGAUGGCAAAACCUCAGGCAGGGAGCCCCCAGCCUGGAACCUUGCCCCUCUGUUGUCUGUCAUCCACUGCAGCCAGGCAGCAGGGAGCAGGGUUUGCCACAGCCAGCAUCAGGAACCUUACAGGAGCACACGUCAGCCAUCAUCUGGAGGGACGUGAACUGUGCGUGCACACAGCAUUAUUUAUAGAACAAAAACUAGCGCCAACACACAUGUCCAAUCAGAGGAUGUGGGUCAGCUAAGUGACGGGACACUGGAUAUGGGACACACGUGGCCCUUACGCACCAGAUACGUGAAGAGUGUUCAUUGGCAUGGGAACUGUUCAUUAUAUAAGGCCAGGUGAGGAGGAAGCAGAAUGCAAACCAGGUGUGCCACAUAAUGCCCACCUGGACAACUAAGGAAAAUAAAGCAAUUCGCCUGCCAGAGAGCAGGUGCCAAGAAACACAGGCCACCACUUUGCUGUCCAGGGUCCCAGGGCUGAGCUGUCCUCCCGGGAGGUCCUGCAGGGGGCCUGGGAAGUGGGGGAGGCAGAGUGUGUGCUGCUGGCUUAACAGAGACCCUCUGCCAAAAUGUGGGAAAAGGAGAACAGAGGGGUGCUUGGGGGUGAGGAGAUGGCCCCAAGGUGAGGUCCUAAGACACAAGUGGCAGUUAGGAGCUCAGACUGAACCAAAGAGUGACCCAGCCCACCCAUGGUCAGCUCCAAAGAGCGGCGCAUGAGCCCCCUGUCUUCUGUGUCUGUCCCUGUCUCUGUCUCUGUCUCCAUCUUUUCCCUUUUUUCUAGGCUAGAAUGACACAAUAAGCAGAUUUGGUUCUGGUUCAAAUAGAUUCACUAAAAUUUACAAAAAGAAACAAAAUACCCUACAAAGCUUCAGUUCCCUUCUUAAAGCACAGGUCCUUAUGCAGGUCUCAGGUAUCUGUGAUCUGCUGGGGUCUGGGCAGUCCUGUUGGACCAGGGGGUCUUUAGCAGGCUCUGAGUGACACCUGGUGUGUGGCCUCAGGCAGACAGGAAGCACAAUGCACAGGUCCCCCCCCCCCGUAAGGACCCCCUGUCCGCUGGGGUCCUGCCACGCACUUGCUGGUGGUGUGCCGUUCGCAGCCAUUCAUCAUUUCUGGCCUGCAGAUUAUUCCAGGGCUGAUUAAAUUAGCGAAUGCAAUCACAAUCUGAAGCAAGUUAAUUGAGAGGAUUUAUUUGGGCCUGACAGUUUUAUGCAUGUUUGAUUAAGUAUUAUAAGGUUGGUUUUUGAUUUUGCAUAAUUUAACUUUAAAUUCUGCGCUGGGGGGCCAUCAACCAUUAACGACCAAAAUAAACCUCUUUUAAGAUGCAUCUAUUUAUGAUUUAUUUUUGAAUGCAAUAUCUUCCAGGGUUUUUUUUUCGAUGUUGUUACCAAAGUGACAAAUACAUGAAAAGUAACAUUUUGAGCAAUGCAUUGGCCCUAUAAAUCUUCUGGAAUGUAUACAAUUCAUUAAAAGUUUUGAAAGAAGUACAAGUUAGCAUUUAUAUUGCAACAAGUGACAUAUAAAUGCUUAUGUUUGUCCUCUGAGCCUGCCGUAAAAUACAUCCUCCUGGCAGGGCUCCUGGGACCAGACAGGUCGCCCACGCUCUGCAUGGUGAUAACUCUGCCACAGAUCUUGCCUCCUGUCAGUGCAGCGCUGCUCAGUCAACAGGAGGGUGAGCUGUGUCUUUUGUGAAAUUAGCAUGGGAGGAAAAUACAGCCGGGACACUUGGGCAGCUGGAAGGGGCCAAACCCAGCUGCUCUGGACACUUUUCAAACCUCUCUGGGCCUCGGGCUCCUCGCCUCUCUGUCUCCUCUCCAUCCUGACCCCGCCAGACCAUCCUCACCACGGGGCAGGAACCCAAGGGUCAGGACCACACGUGCCACGGAUAUUGGGCCCUUUGCACUUGACAGGGACUGGGUGUCGGCAGGUUGGGAUGAGGGCUCAAUUAGGUGACGUGCAGGCACUUAGCUCCUGCAGGUGGAGAGGCUGCGGCCCCGGCGGUCAGCCAGAAGGGGGUCAGUGCCCAGUUGUCUUCUGUGCAGGGCGCCGGAGGAUCUGGCCUCACGUAGGGCAUCCAGGAAUGAAAACAGAGACCAAGACCGGAACUCCCCGCCACCCCAGGGACAGACAGCGUUUCCACCUGUGUGGAACUUGCAGAAUCUCUGAACGUGAUGGAAUUCAGGCGGAUGGAACUUAUCAGCUACGUCCAAGGAGAAGUGUCUCCCACUCCUGACACCUCCGUAGGAGUAAAAUAUUUAAAAACGCCUGCGUGGGCCUUUCUGCCAGGGGAAGACACGGAGUAGGGUCGUUCAAGCCCCCCCUCCCGCCGUCGUCACGUCUGGGUCAGAGUCUCCCAACGGCUGCGGAAGCUUUCCAUCGGAGGGUCAGUGCUGAAAUGGCCAGCCAGAGGACGAGGAGCCGGUCUGCGGAGGGGUGGACGCAGCCACGAAGGCCGCACGGGGACAGGAGAGCUGUGGGGCCGGAGAGGGCUGGCUCAAGGGACGGUUCUCAAGGGCCCGGUAUGCACCUCACUGAGAAAGAGACUGUUACUGGUGGUAUCGGAGAUGACACUGGAGAGCAUUGCCUAAAAGGCGGUUUUGAACAGUGUGGGGAAACUGAGCGGCUGAACUCAUGACCGACCGAGGCGGUGGCGAGAAGAGAGGCUUUGCGCCUCUGAUGACCGUGACGCUGGAGCCAAGACUGGCAUUCGGAAACGCCGUCCUGGGAAUGGCCACGACCGUGACGUAAGGAAAGCCCUGUCUAAACAGGAGAUGGCGGGUGCCUCAUCUGGCCAUCGGGCGAAGUGGUUCCGGAAACUUCGGUGGUGGUCAGGGAGGUGGAUUUGGUGGGAACGACGACUUUGGUCAUGGAGGGGACGCCAGUGGUCGAGGUGGCCUUGGUGGCAGGCGUGGUGGUGGCAGUGGGGAUGGCCAUCGUGGGUUUGGUGAUGGUGGAAGCAGCUUUGGAGGUGGGGGGAGCUACAGUGAUUUGGGCAGUUACAACAAUCCGUCUUCACCUUUUGGACCCAUGCAAGGAGGAAACUUUGGAGGCAGACGCUCCGGCCCCAGUGGCGGUGGAGGCCAAUACUUUGCCAAACCACGAAACCAAGGUGGCUGCGGCGGUUCCAGCAGCAGCCGGAGCUAUGGCGGUGGCAGCAGGCCAAGAAACAAAUCUUAGCAAGAGAGCCCAAGAGGUGACGCGGAGGCCUCAGGUGACGGAUUUGUGAACUCAGCCAAGCACAGCGGUAGCAGGGCCUCGCUGCUCCCAAGAAGCCAUGUUUUAGACAAUACUCGCGUGUACAGACUGCAUUUGUGCCUAAGUGUGUAACAGGUUAUUUUGGUUUCUGUUCUGUGCAAAGUGUAAAGCGUCCCAACAAAGGGUUUUCAUGCAGAUUUUUUUUUUGCACCCAUGCUGUUGAUUGCUAAAUAUGUACUGUAAUAAUCUGAUCAUGA